Long non-coding RNA from Capsicum annuum, 834 nucleotides. RefSeq lists it as uncharacterized. The transcript has 3 exons. The record is from RefSeq and is a predicted model, not a curated record. Lineage: Eukaryota; Viridiplantae; Streptophyta; Magnoliopsida; Solanales; Solanaceae.
AAUUGCUUGAGCUUGUACACCCAAAUCGGGUACAGCCCAUCCAAAUUAAAAUAAAAGAGCAAAAAAUAUCCUAAGACUAUUCUAGAAACCCGAUGGACACAAGAAAAAUGAAGUCAAAAAAGGUAAAAGUAAAAUCAUUUGGAGCUAAGUCAGAUUGACCUUCUUCAUCAGAGCCUUCAUUUACAUCGAUAUGGUUUCCAAAUCAAGUGCAGCAGCUGAUUGAAGAGUUUAUCAGGCUAUUGUAGCUGACAAUCGAUGUACGAAGAUGAGUUUUGGUGAAUUUCACUGUUAACAUUCCAAAUUCUCACGAACAUCAUGUAAUCGAUCCAAGUGAAGACUUCUUCAACUCACCUAACAAUCGAUUUGAGCUUCUCUAACCAGAUAAGUGUCUUUCCUAUUGAAUCAAUGCCUUAUUCAGGAAAAAAUAUCAAUUCCUCACACCCUUUUACCCUUUUGACAGAUUGAGCUCGUAUCGCAGCUGAUACCACUGUCUAAAUGAGUAAAGUUGUGUGCAAUCUUUGAUAUUUAAUUCCUGUUGUGAAUUCUGCUGUGCAGCAAGAUGUUGCCCAUUAACCCCAUUAUCAUCAGGGCCUCCAGUUCUGGCCAACCAUAGAAAAAUUUGCCUAUUACUGCGAGUUGAAGAUCCUGUUCAUCUUUUUCACCUCAUCUUCUGUCCAAAAGAUUCUUGGAAUACCAUCAUUGUAAUUGAUACAUCUUUGUUAAGCUGUUUAGAAUGUAUCUCAGGUUUAAGCAAAUCAACAAAUUUAGUCUGUUUUCCUUCUGUAUUAUUAGAUGACUGGCCCAUUGCAAUCUCAUUAGUAGGCAAAUUCUCCA